AGAGGACAGAGGCAGGGCAUGUGUCAAGACUUAGAGAGGAGACUGAGCGAGGAUCCUGGACCGGUUGGGGGCAGAAGGAGGCUGUGGUUGAAGAGAGUGUGAGAUCCAGGAGGAGAUCCAGCAUCCACACAUAUUUGAAGAACAAUAGUACACAGAUCUGGGGACUUUCCUGGUGGCACAGUGGUUAAGAAUCUGCCUGCCAAUGCAGGGGACACGGGUUCGAGCCCCGGCCCGGGAAGAUCCCACAUGCCGCGGAGCAGCUAUGCCCGUGCGCCACAACUACUGAGCCUGUGCUCUAGAGCCCACAAGCCACAACUACUGAGCCCGAGUGCCACAACUACUGAAGCCCGCACGCCUAGAGCCUGUGCUCUGCAGCAAGAGAAGCCACCGCAAUGAGAAGCCCGCGUGCAGCAACGAAGACCCAACGCAGCCAUAAAUAAAUAAAUAAAUAAAUAAAUAAAUUUAUUAAAAAAAAA
Molecule: long non-coding RNA, 476 nt
Organism: Balaenoptera acutorostrata (minke whale)
Lineage: Eukaryota; Metazoa; Chordata; Mammalia; Artiodactyla; Balaenopteridae
Exons: 2
Source: RefSeq, a predicted model, not a curated record